AUCGAUCUCUCUCAAUUCUCUCCACCAAAAUCUUUGACAUUUUGUGCUUUCAAUCCGAAAUCCUUAGCCCAUUCGAUUAACUCCUGUACCAUAUCCCAAUUCUAUCUCUUUCUCCAUCGAUUUCAAGAAUCUGCAUAUAUUGAUGGUGAUUUGCUAGACGGAGACAAAGUCAUUAGUCAUUUUUUUCGGUUUUUACGUCUGAGACUACACUGGCCUUGGAUAUACAAGAUACAAUGCUAAUGAUGUACAUCAAGAUGUUUUGGGGUGUGUAGUGGAGAAUAAAGUUCUUCAGAGUUCUCAGCUAUCUUGUGUACAUGUAAUUUGAAUUGAUAAGAUUUCUUUAAGAAAGAUGUGUUAUUUGAGCCCAUGCUUGUAACUCGCCUUUCACUUGUCUUUUUGCAUGUCUACUGCAGUAUUUUUUUGCUCGUUUCAAAACCUUCACAUCCAGCUGCCUUAUUUGAUUAGUGUAGAGAGUGCGAUUUUGAGGAGUUGGUCCUAAUUGCUUAUUACCCUUCUUCAAAUUAUCAGUCAGAUUAUUUGACUUUAGAGACUUAUCAGUUUGGCAUGUUUUCUAGUUUCUUAAAUGAGAGGGUUUGAUAUUUGUAGGAAUCAGAUCUCCAGAAGACUGUUUACCCUGCGAGGUUAAACUCGAUGGAUAUGCUACCUAGCUCUUCGUUGACAGGUCUUGGUAAAGUACCAUCCGCAACAGAUUUGUUUAUGCGAGGAUGCCUUGCUAAGCUGGAGCUAAGUGAUGCAAAACUGGUGUUUUUGGCAGUUUAAAACAUGACAUGGCAUAGACUGGGAGGGCCAUAGCAGCCCAUAGCAAUUGCUUUAAGAAGAAUUUCCUUUCAUCCAAGUGAUAAUGUACGCUCAAACCAACCAGGGCCAUAACAUUUGAACUUUAGAACCACUAAAGCAUUUUGGGAGUCCAAGAUAUGUACCUGUUCCACCUUCAUUGUGAAUGCCUGUCAGAGAUUUGAUUGUUUUUUUGUAUCUGAGGAUCAACUUUGGAGCCAAAGGUUAUGGAAGAAUUUGAGAGAUUAAUUCGCUGCCCUGUAAUUGUUCCAUAGUAGUCAAGAAUUUGCUGAAGCUUAUGUGCUUGUUCAAAAGAAGCCUUACACCUGAAUAAACUGUCAUCAGCAAACAAGUGAUGAAUGGCUGGACCUGUUGGUGAAAAUUGAAUUCCUUGUAUAGAUCAUUUCUCUUU
This is an RNA transcript of Arabidopsis lyrata subsp. lyrata, 1207 nucleotides long. RefSeq lists it as uncharacterized. Lineage: Eukaryota; Viridiplantae; Streptophyta; Magnoliopsida; Brassicales; Brassicaceae. The record is from RefSeq and is a predicted model, not a curated record. The transcript has 4 exons.